Molecule: long non-coding RNA, 567 nt
Organism: Salvia splendens (bonfire salvia)
Lineage: Eukaryota; Viridiplantae; Streptophyta; Magnoliopsida; Lamiales; Lamiaceae
Exons: 5
Source: RefSeq, a predicted model, not a curated record
AAGCAGUCACUGCCAUCGGGGUCUCACUUCGGUCGGUGUCAUUCUCCAGCCAUCUCGGCUGCAUUGUCACUAUCAAUUUCGUCGGACUUCCGUGGACUUCUCGGCUUAAUAGUUGUGUGGCAAUGGAGGCGUUCUUGUUCUAGUUCAGGCCAUCAUGAACUUAAAGUUAUCGGGGCUCAGACAAUAUUUCCUCAUACAUAGCUGCUAUCUCCCGCCUAAAAUCUAAAGCUUUAUCUAUUCUUUUGCACCUUUGUGAAGCUGAAAGUGUAUCCUACCUGGAUGAGGUGGCCAGCAACACAACAACUCGGGAUGUGGCAAAGUCUGUUGGACUCGAGGUUCUUCAAUUGCUGAAAAAUGUUUGGUAUAGAUUCAAGACAGUUAAAAGCUCCCUCCGAGGCAAGUUACCCGAAGGGUCAACUGGAACGUAAUACAAAGCGCUUGGCAGAUGUCGUCUCAGAUGCUUCAAAUUUUCGGUCAUUCAUCAUGAUAAACUUUGUUCACAGUUGAGUCAUUCUGAAUCUUUAGUUCUAAGAGUUUUGAAUGAAGAUGAUGUAUAACUGCUGAGGU